UAUUUUUUUUGGCACGGCGUCGUUUGGAAAGUGCACUUCAUUGUUCUGACCUUGCCUUUUAUGGGCUGGAGCGAUAUGAUACGUAAUAUGCCACGGCGAAGUUGUCGAAGAUACGACGGUGCUACGCUGUUAGAACAAUUCAUCGGAGCAUUCAAGUGUUACCUAUUAUAAGCUGCCAAAAGUGCAAAGCUCUUGGCUGACAGUGGUGCCUGCUAAUUUCCACAGCAAGGAUUUCGUCCACGAACGUUAUCAUAGGUUACGCGCGUCUCCAGAGGCACUUUGGAAUCUCGGCAUGAAAUCGUCUGAUGAAAAUCUCAGGUGCCCGACGCACAACGUUUUGAACGUGUCACGGAGGAUCAAGGCAAAAAACGAGAGCAAAAAAGGUGCACGCUGAAGGCGGAAAUGAAGCAUGAUCUGGCUUGUAUCUGGUGCAUGAAGAAAUGGCUGACACGUUAGUUGCAGUCUACCUCCACCAAUAGGGUGGAAAACAAAGGUCCCCAUCCCGAUUAGCUGCUAUCUCCCAGUUCAAGCACUUCUGCUGUCUGGACACUGGUUCCUGUGGACGGGGUGUUACAAGCUUCACUGUCUGAUAUAGAAGUGAUGAGCGUCCAUAAGGACACAUGCCAGAAAGGGAGUCUCUUCGGGAUGACAAACCCUCAUCACCUCAUGAGGACACAAUGGUUGACGAAUGGUUCUCAAGCACAUUGAAACUUCAACAAAUAAUUCAUGAAAAAGCCAGUCAGUGCUAGCACCAGGAAUUGAACGUGGACUGUCCUGCUACCAGUCAGAGAUGUUACAUUUCAGGCGCUCAUUGACUUUUGGUGAAUUACUCGUUGACUUUGUCCCAAGGUGGAGCUCGCCACAGCUCAUUUGCUUAUCUGUUAAUGUUGUGGCGUGUGUUGCGUUUUUCUCUUUAUGUGUUCCAGACUCAGAACGGUUAAUUUGGAUCAGGUCAGGUACGUUUCAUUUAGGCAUGAAAAACAUAAAGUGGUGUUUCUCAACACAACUUAGCAGUGGCCUUCAUGCAUUACUGCUACGGCCAUUAAGCGUGAAUGGAAAGCUGCACAUUAUGCAUGAUGUAAAACCCCCAAGACUAGGGAACACGAAGGGACAGACACAGACACGUCCCUUUGUGUUCCCUAGUCUCGGGGUUUUACAUAUGCAUCAUCUUCACCAGCUCGCUUGCUUCCUAGCCAUUUUUUCUGCACAUUAUGUUCACUCUACUUUUAUCGUGUGCUAUAUAAUCUUGUUCAAGUUCUGUGAAAUGACGUGUAAUGCUAUAAAAAAAUUCAGUACACUGCUUAUGUGGGUUGAAUGGUAGCGCAUGAAUGCAGGAAGGAAACUGUCAUGUUAUGGCAAGUGUUUACGUAUUGUACAUUUAACUACUAAUUUUAUUGGUUAGCUUUUGCCGGCGUAUCAUGUCAAGCCAUGUUAUAUUAAUUUGGAACAUGUUCUUCUUAGUAACCGGAGCAGCUGAUACACAGUGAGAACACAGCCCAUGUGUGUUUGUCUUUUCCACCGCAGCCCUUGGGUUUCCUCCCUGAUGGCUACACAUGUCAGGGAUAGGUUUCAGAACCGGUAGUUCCCGCCAAGUGUGAAUUGCUUUUCAGGGGAUCAUCACGCUGGCAGAUGAACCAUAUGGUUUAAAUUAUUUGCAGGACAGGAGUUGUGUAGCUGCACCCAAAUAGUACUACUACGACGUAAGAGUGGUUUCAAAUCUAGCUUUUUUGUGUUCCUAACAUUAUCGCACAAGAUGUAGUAUCCAUUAUGAUCCUUUAUAUGGGGGUAUGUACACUGCAAUCAACAGAUGCUAUUUACAAAUCUGUGUUUUCUACUGUGUUGAAAUGGGGUAGUUUGUAUCUGAGAGCCAUAGUGAAACACAGGCAGCCAAGGACAGAUUUUUGAUGCCCUCGAGAAACAUGGCAACACAUUGCAGGGACUCUGGAUGCUGCCUAAAUUUCCAGAACACACAGCUCAAGGCAGCGGUUAAAUAACAAAUGGUUUGAGAAAUCCAAGACAGUUGCAUGUGUCAGCAGUCCACUGUUGGAUUAGCUUCUCUCCGAGAUACGUUAUCUCAAAGGGGACGCACGGGCACACUCAGAAUGAUACUAGGGCUGCCUGUGAAAUAGAAUGAGGAGAGGGGGAGAUAUAUAACCCUUUUUUCUUGUCUGUUAUUCUAUUGGUUAAAUUGUCAUUUGCUUAACAGCAUAUACGUGUAUAUUCCAGAGUCUGCUAAUAAAUAUAUCAGUUUAGAGCUAGCAGUCGCACUGUAGAUGUCUGCCCUUGGCUGCUUGUGUUUCACUAUGGCCAUGCUUGCUAUUGCAAAAACAGAAAACGAAAAAGACAAUAGAAAAACACGAAAAGAACGACCUAAAAAGCUGCCUGUUCUAGUGCUCACAUGGAGGCAAUGCAAUGAGGUAACAUGUUCCAUUCAUGAACUGUGCAUAGUAGUACAUAUCACAAUGGCAACCGAUUAUUCAGAUUUUUCUUGAAGUACUUUGUUUUUUGGAGCUUUGUUUGCACAGUCUAUUAUUGGAGCUUUAUGUGAUUCCCCUCUUGAGAUACUUUAAGAUUGCUGAUGCUGUGCAGUUUGUUAAUUUUGAAACUGUGCUGUGCUGAGGUACAAAAACAUAAUUGUCAUAUCUACAUUUGAGCACAUAGGAAUAAUUUGUAAGUACUUUCCUUGUUGACAUUAAUAUUUGCACCAGGUCACAACAUUGUUGAUUGAUGGAAAAUGUAAAUAAGUAUAUUUAUAUGCUUGCCAAACAAUGCACAAAUGAUUUCUUUUCUAGUGAGAUAUUCCCUGUUUACCAGACAUAAAUGCGGAAAAGUUAAAGGUGCACAAUGAUGGUAGAGUCUAGCGUUGCUUUUUGCCACUUCACAUAUAUUCACUGUUAUUCGUGUGCACAUGUAGGAAUAGGAAGGUAGAGCAAGUGCUUAAAAAAUUUUGUAUGCAGCCACACAUAUGGUUCAGAAGAUUAAUUAGAUGAUGUCCAAGCAUAUAUAAUUGUACUUUAUGUGCAAUGGGUAUGCUAACGGAUUGCUUCCAUGAAGCCUUUUCAUUUAUUUUUAUAAAUUUUAUUUUUUAUUUCAUAUAAAUUUUAUAUUACUUAUUGUAUACUUAUUUUUUUUAUAAAUCUUAUAACUAAAAAAAUGAAGUUACGCGGACCCUUUAGGAGUACCCUUUGCAAAUGGUUUGGUAACGUGUCUCUAACUUAGCUUUGGCGCUCUAUGACCCUAGUUGUCCGUGCGCCAUAAAAACCUGAAUAAUCAUCAUCAUCGUGUCUCUAACUGUAAAGGUAAGAGGCAAUCGAGAAUGCUGCAGACAAGGUUGCAACUUGCAUAUUGCUUAUCAUGUCCUACAUACAAAGCGAUUUGUACAAUAAUUCCUGAGCACGGAAUUAAUUCCAAGGCUGGCCAGUGAUGUCACCCAGGACGACAAGUCACAUAAUUGCCUCUACACUUUUACACCCCAUGGGCUGCAUUGUGAAUUGAACGAGCGCUCUACAGAAGGAUAAGGUGCACCUGAUUUCUAGGAUUUAUGCUAUGCCUAACUCUUCAGACACCACAUUUCUAAAAACACCAUUUCUAAGAGGCAAUAUGUGCUCUGGUACUUCUUUUGCGUCUGCAUAAUGUGCAACCACAUGGCUACUGGAGCUUUCGAGUGCAUGUUUUUGCGCGACGGUGCUCAUUACAAACAAUAUCCAGAUGUUAGACAUAAAAUGCAGUAGUUUGUAGCGUGCCACACAACGCAGCGUGACAUGGGAGUGUGUGAUUCAAAGAAAGCUUCUGGAAAAUGCACAGAAUCU
Long non-coding RNA from Ornithodoros turicata, 3809 nucleotides. RefSeq lists it as uncharacterized. NCBI's taxonomy places the organism in Eukaryota, Metazoa, Arthropoda, Arachnida, Ixodida, Argasidae. The transcript has 4 exons. The record is from RefSeq and is a predicted model, not a curated record.